AGGGAACAAUGCAGAGAACGUUAGCAUGGCCCCUGCACAAGGAUGACACAGACGUUCAUGAAGAAUUCCAUGUUGCC
Molecule: small nuclear RNA, 77 nt
Organism: Monodelphis domestica (gray short-tailed opossum)
Lineage: Eukaryota; Metazoa; Chordata; Mammalia; Didelphimorphia; Didelphidae
Source: Ensembl